Molecule: ribosomal RNA, 468 nt
Filed under: uncultured bacterium
Lineage: Bacteria
Description: partial 16S ribosomal RNA
Rfam family: Bacterial small subunit ribosomal RNA
Source: RNAcentral
GAUGAACGCUGGCGGCGCGCCUAACACAUGCAAGUCGAACGGUUAAAGCACCUUUUAGGUGUGUAUAAAGUGGCGAACGGCUGAGUAACACGUGGGCAACCUGCCCUCCUCUUGGGGAUAGCCUCGGGAAACCGAGGAUAAUACCCGAUACUUCAAUGUGGCCGCAUGACGACAUUGUGAAAGCUUUUGCGGAGAAGGAUGGGCCCGCGGCCUGUUAGCUUGUUGGUGGGGUAGAGGCCUACCAAGGCAAUGAUGGGUAGCUGGCCUGAGAGGCCGACCAGGGCCAUGGGGGCUACGGGACGGCCCAGACGCCAACCGGAGGCAGAGGCGGGGAGUUGGGCGAAAUGGGCCGGAGCGUGAUGCAGCAAUGCCGGGUGCGGGAAGCCGGCUUUCGGGGUGAACACCGCUUUCGACGGUGCUGAACCGUGAGUGACGGUAAUGGGUAAGGAAGCACCGGCUAACUACGUG